AUUGCAAGAAGUUCUUGAGCUGAAUUCCUGUUGUGACAACUGCCUAUGUGGUGAAGCAGUAUUUUCCAAUUUGAAGAUUCAUUUGAAGGUGGCUCCUGCCACCUGCUAAUAGCAGUUCAAACUAAAUUUUUUCUAUCAAGUUCCCGAAUGGAAGUAUGACGUUGGGUCCCUCUGAAGUUUAAUUCUGAGUUCUCAUUAAAAGAAUUUGCUUUCAUUGUUUUAUUUCUUAAUUGCUAUGCUUCAGUAUCAAUUUGUGUUUUAUGCCCCCC
Molecule: long non-coding RNA, 269 nt
Filed under: Rattus norvegicus (Norway rat)
Lineage: Eukaryota; Metazoa; Chordata; Mammalia; Rodentia; Muridae
Description: long non-coding RNA NONRATT009235
Source: RNAcentral